This is a non-coding RNA of Saimiri boliviensis boliviensis (Bolivian squirrel monkey), 2714 nucleotides long. NCBI's taxonomy places the organism in Eukaryota, Metazoa, Chordata, Mammalia, Primates, Cebidae. The record is from RefSeq and is a predicted model, not a curated record.
CCCCCUCUUCUACUUUUAACCUGAUUAUUUCCUCAUAGUUCAUAUCAGUUAUAUGGAACUUCACAAAACUUUCCUUGCUCCUCAAGUCUAAAUUAGCCCUCCCUGGUCACUUUUAUGCCACAGAUUUUCAAAAUUUAUAAUUACAUAUGUGCAUAUGUAUAUGUGUGUGUAUUUGAUAUCAUUUAAGUGUUGACUCCAAGCAAUUCUAAAUAAUGCAAGCACCAAAACUGUGUCUGUCUGCUCAAAUUGCAGUCAUCCCUUAUAUCCAGAGGGACUGGUUCUAGAAACCCUGCAGGUAGCAAGCACUAUGAAUGCCCAACUUCUCUAUAUAAAAUAGUGUCGUAUUUGUACAUAACCUAUGUACAUCCUCCCUAUACUUUAAAUCAUCUCUAUGUUACUUAUAAUACCUACUAUAGUUGUAAAUGUUAUGUAGAUAAUUGUCAUACUGUAUUGUUUUUUAUUUAUAUUAUGUUUUAUUGGCACAUUGUUGUAUUUGGUUGUGUUUUUUUCCCAAAUACUGUUGAUCGGCAGUUGGUUGAGUCUGCAAAUGUAGAGACCGUAUAUAUGGAGGGCUGACUGUAUCCUCUCAGAUCCUUCUGGAGUAUCUGGCAUGUGAUGAGCUCACCAAAAACGUUUAGCGAUUCGAUAAGCCUCUGGUUGAUUUACAGUUCCUGCUUUCUUGACACUCUGUUGCUGGUUUGACUAAAAAAUUCUUCAUGAAAUAUCAUCAUAAAUUGAUUUUUAUUAGAAGUUUUACAGAAGGAAACUAAUUUCAUAUGUUCUGCUCCUAUGAAAGAUUUAAUAUUUUAGUGUGACAUCAUAGCCACUACUUAUUAUUUCGAGGUUUUGCAGUAUUCUUGAUCAUGCGUUGUCAGUGCAAUUCAUUUUUAGAACAAAGAAGAGUGUGAAGUUUAAAAAUUAAUAAACCAGGUUUUAUUUUAGUCUUUGUCUUGAUGGCAUUAGGAGUAAGGAGAUGUGGAGUACCUUGUAUGAAGACUAAUACCAUGGAAAGUUCUGGCCAACUCACAAAUCAUUUAUAUCAGGUUUCUGGAUAAUUGUUUAUAGGCAUACAAUAUGUUGGACUGAUAAAAAGCUGAUAAGUAUAUGAUUCAAUGACUAAGAUAUGUCCAAGUGAAAAUUUUUUACAAAUGGACAAUGCCCUAUUACCAGUGAGCUAUCUCCCUUAGAAACUCAGAUUUAUUACAAUCCCGAUUACCUGUCAGAAUAACAAAGUUGUCCAACAAGAAUUCUUUAAUGCCAAAUUACUUUGCUCAGCUAUUUUUUCUAAAUAAAAUCCUCCUAAAAAAUUCUUUCUUUUUCAUGAGGUUGUGCUUUUUUGUUUUAAUUCCAUAGCUCUUAACCUACCUACCAAUUAUCUCCUAAGUACACACAAGCAGGAGCACCAUCUCAAAUGAUUUUUUCUUUAUAUAUUUAUUUGUUUAUCUAAAAAUUUGUUUUGUUUUGUUUAUGAAAUAUAUGUGUGUGUGUGUGUGUGUGUGUUUUGCUAAAUGUUAGACACUGCUCCAAGCUUUAAAAGCUUCACUCAUUGCUUUUGUCAGUUCAUUUCAUCCAAAAGUAAAAUAUUAUUUACCAUACAAAGUUGUCAUUUCAACAAAUUAUAAUGUUUUUUAAAAAAUGACCUGUCAUGACAUUUAGCAAUUUAGCCCUGCAAUGGAUUUUAUUUACUUCGACUCACCCAUUAGUCUAGAAUUAGGAUUCCAUUUUCCUCUUUCUAAAGAUGACAAUUAUAGAUGUUUUCUUAUUGAAAAAAAUAACAUUCAUUCAUUUUUAUAAACAAACAACAAUAUAAAUAAGCCUAUAGAAGAAAAAUCAAUCAUAUCACUACCCUGUUUAGGUUUUCUCUGUCUUCUAAUCAUAUGCAUAUAUCUGAAAAUGAAUAAUAUUUAAGUGAAGCAAAAAUAGUAUUCAAAGUGUACUUCAACUGAAUACAGCUUUUAUUUGUAUUUCAUUUCUCAGUAUUUUCUCCCCUAUAAAAACAGAGUGAAGUUGUAAGAAUACUAGAGCUGAGUUUCAAAAUUUCAUGUUAAAUAAGAUUUUGCAUGUCAUGGCCUCAGUAAAAUUUCUGGAGCACUUUAUAAUAGUGAGUUUAUUUUCAUGGAAAUCAAAAAACUAGGUUAUGAUAUUCUUUUGUAAUUCCCUAAACCUAUCUAACAGUGCAAGGGUUGUCUAUCCUCCUUACGUAUAAAAUCACUUCUCUAAUGGACCUUAACAUGUACAAUUCUAGGCUGCUCAGCAAGGGCUUUCUGUUACUGUGAAAGAGGAAUAUGAUCAAUAUAACAGCCUCAGUAAUUCCUCUAUCUUUUUGCAAUUCCUCAAAGUGAACCCAAUUCUUUUGCAGAACACAAAGGCUCUGAACACCUGGGAAGUCACCAGUGUGACCCCCACCACCACCCAUUAAGCUUCUUAACUAGCAUGUCCCUCACCAUCACCUCCCUUCCCAAAGCCCUUUGCGUGUGCCUGUCCCCUGGCAAGAGAGUCACAACUAAAUGGCCAAAAGCUAAUGACAAUUCCACCCCAACAUGAAAAAUUGAAUAUAAAUGAGAAUGUUUUGAAAGAUGCCACGAACAGGCCCCGUGCAGUGGCUCAGGCCUGUAAUCCCAGCACUUUGGGAAGCCGAGGCAGGCAGAUCAUGAGGUCGAGAGAUCAAGACCAUCCUGGCCAACAUGGUGAAACCCCGUCUCUACAAAAAAUAC